This 634-nucleotide ribosomal RNA is filed under the name Staphylococcus epidermidis. RNAcentral's name for it is "partial 23S ribosomal RNA". It matches the Rfam family "Bacterial large subunit ribosomal RNA", at positions 132 to 763 of the family's 2925-position model. The record is from RNAcentral. Lineage: Bacteria; Bacillati; Bacillota; Bacilli; Caryophanales; Staphylococcaceae.
CAUGAGUUAUGUCAUGUUAUCGACAUGUGAAUUCAUAGCAUGUCAGAAGGCAGACCCGGAGAACUGAAACAUCUUAGUACCCGGAGGAAGAGAAAGAAAAAUCGAUUCCCUGAGUAGCGGCGAGCGAAACGGGAAGAGCCCAAACCAACAAGCUUGCUUGUUGGGGUUGUAGGACACUCUAUACGGAGUUACAAAAGAACAUGUUAGACGAAUCAUCUGGAAAGAUGAAUCAAAGAAGGUAAUAAUCCUGUAGUCGAAAACAUAUUCUCUCUUGAGUGGAUCCUGAGUACGACGGAGCACGUGAAAUUCCGUCGGAAUCUGGGAGGACCAUCUCCUAAGGCUAAAUACUCUCUAGUGACCGAUAGUGAACCAGUACCGUGAGGGAAAGGUGAAAAGUACCCCGGAAGGGGAGUGAAAGAGAACUUGAAACCGUGUGCUUACAAGUAGUCAGAGCCCGUUAAUGGGUGAUGGCGUGCCUUUUGUAGAAUGAACCGGCGAGUUACGAUCUGAUGCAAGGUUAAGCAGCAAAUGUGGAGCCGCAGCGAAAGCGAGUCUGAAUAGGGCGUUGAGUAUUUGGUCGUAGACCCGAAACCAGGUGAUCUACCCUUGGUCAGGUUGAAGUUCAGGUAACACU